AUUCCAACAUCUCAACUUUUUUGAAUUAUGGGAGCUUAUGAAGUAUAUUUCUUUGUAUGCUCUCUAAUGUGGGGUCUUAUAGACAGCCAGACAAAUUGUUUUUGAAAUUUGACUAAUUUUAGGAAAUCUUUGUUUGGACUUUUGAGUGUUGUUUUCUUCAUCUUUAGUGUUGAAUUAGUCACGGAGAGGAUGAUUCAGUAAAGUCGCUCCAUUAUAACAUUAAGGUCAUAGGUUCAAAGUAUAGAAAGAAAGAGCCUCUGCAUGUGAGGGUAUGGCUGCAUAUGCUUGAGGUUCAAAGUGAAUGGCAGGGCAUAAUUCUUUUUUGCCAUUGAAUGUCAAUAGCAGAAUGAGCUAUAUUCCGAAUGCAGACUCCCUGGCAUAUUUGUAUUCUGAGAAAGUCUUAAUGCAAUUUCUUUUGUCAAUAGAUUACAAUUGUGCGCUUCCUUAGAGGACUAUCAGGUGCAGUGGGGGUCCAUUACCUUCAAGCUGAGAUUGUGGUGGGCUUAUUGUGCGAACAAGCAGUUGUAACAGGUCAUCUGAACUACC
This 546-nucleotide long non-coding RNA is filed under the name Phoenix dactylifera (date palm). Its description in RNAcentral is "long non-coding RNA (PDAC_LNC022034)". Lineage: Eukaryota; Viridiplantae; Streptophyta; Magnoliopsida; Arecales; Arecaceae. The record is from RNAcentral.